AUUGAACGCUGGCGGCAGGCCUAACACAUGCAAGUCGAACGGUAACAGGAAACAGCUUGCUGUUUCGCUGACGAGUGGCGGACGGGUGAGUAAUGUCUGGGAAACUGCCUGAUGGAGGGGGAUAACUACUGGAAACGGUAGCUAAUACCGCAUAACGUCGCAAGACCAAAGAGGGGGACCCUCGGGCCUCUUGCCAUCGGAUGUGCCCAGAUGGGAUUAGCUUGUUGGUGGGGUAACGGCUCACCAAGGCGACGAUCCCUAGCUGGUCUGAGAGGAUGACCAGCCACACUGGAACUGAGACACGGUCCAGACUCCUACGGGAGGCAGCAGUGGGGAAUAUUGCACAAUGGGCGCAAGCCUGAUGCAGCCAUGCCGCGUGUAUGAAGAAGGCCUUCGGGUUGUAAAGUACUUUCAGCGGGGAGGAAGGGAGUAAAGUUAAUACCUUUGCUCAUUGACGUUACCCGCGGAAGAAGCACCGGCUAACUCCGUG
Molecule: ribosomal RNA, 490 nt
Filed under: uncultured bacterium
Lineage: Bacteria
Description: partial 16S ribosomal RNA
Rfam family: Bacterial small subunit ribosomal RNA
Source: RNAcentral